UACAGAGGGUGCGAGCGUUAAUCGGAAUUACUGGGCGUAAAGCGCACGUAGGUGGCGACGUAAGUCGGGUGUGAAAGCCCCGGGCUCAACCUGGGAAUUGCAUUCGAGACUGCAUUGCUGGAGUACGGAAGAGGAAGGCGGAAUUCCCGGUGUAGCGGUGAAAUGCGUAGAUAUCCGAAGGAACAUCAGUGGCGAAAGCGGCUUCCUGGACCAGAACUGACGAUCAGGCUCGAAAGCGUGGGGAGCAAACAGG
This 253-nucleotide ribosomal RNA is filed under the name uncultured bacterium. RNAcentral describes it as "partial 16S ribosomal RNA". It matches the Rfam family "Bacterial small subunit ribosomal RNA", at positions 524 to 776 of the family's 1533-position model. The record is from RNAcentral.